GACGAACGCUGGCGGCGUGCCUAAUACAUGCAAGUAGGACGCACAGUUUAUACCGUAGCUUGCUACACCAUAGACUGUGAGUUGCGAACGGGUGAGUAACGCGUAGGUAACCUGCCUAUUAGAGGGGGAUAACUAUUGGAAACGAUAGCUAAUACCGCAUAACAGUAUGUAACACAUGUUAGAUGCUUGAAAGAUGCAAUUGCAUCGCUAGUAGAUGGACCUGCGUUGUAUUAGCUAGUAGGUAGGGUAAUGGCCUACCUAGGCGACGAUACAUAGCCGACCUGAGAGGGUGAUCGGCCACACUGGGACUGAGACACGGCCCAGACUCCUACGGGAGGCAGCAGUAGGGAAUCUUCGGCAAUGGGGGGAACCCUGACCGAGCAACGCCGCGUGAGUGAAGAAGGUUUUCGGAUCGUAAAGCUCUGUUGUUAAGGAAGAACGAGUGUGAAAAUGGAAAGUUCAUACUGUGACGGUACUUAACCAGAAAGGGACGGCUAACUACGUGCCAGCAGCCGCGGUAAUACGUAGGUCCCGAGCGUUGUCCGGAUUUAUUGGGCGUAAAGCGAGCGCAGGCGGUUAGAAAAGUCUGAAGUGAAAGGCAGUGGCUCAACCAUUGUAGGCUUUGGAAACUGUUUAACUUGAGUGCAGAAGGGGAGAGUGGAAUUCCAUGUGUAGCGGUGAAAUGCGUAGAUAUAUGGAGGAACACCGGUGGCGAAAGCGGCUCUCUGGUCUGUAACUGACGCUGAGGCUCGAAAGCGUGGGUAGCAAACAGG
This 773-nucleotide ribosomal RNA is filed under the name Streptococcus anginosus. RNAcentral's name for it is "bacterial SSU rRNA". It matches the Rfam family "Bacterial small subunit ribosomal RNA", at positions 28 to 776 of the family's 1533-position model. Lineage: Bacteria; Bacillati; Bacillota; Bacilli; Lactobacillales; Streptococcaceae. The record is from RNAcentral.